Molecule: non-coding RNA, 115 nt
Organism: Triticum aestivum (bread wheat)
Lineage: Eukaryota; Viridiplantae; Streptophyta; Magnoliopsida; Poales; Poaceae
Source: Rfam
CACCUACUCCCUCCGUUCGGAAUUACUUGUCGCAGAAAUGGAUGUAUCUAGACAUAUUUUAGUUCUAGAUACAUCCAUCUCCGAGACAAGUAAUUCCGAACGGAGGGAGUAGUAG